UACAGAGGUCCCAAGCGUUGUUCGGAUUCAUUGGGCGUAAAGGGUGUGUAGGUGGCGCCGUAAGUCGGGUGUGAAAUUUCGGAGCUUAACUCCGAAACUGCAUUCGAUACUGCCGUGCUUGAGGACUGGAGAGGAGACUGGAAUUUACGGUGUAGCGGUGAAAUGCGUAGAUAUCGUAAGGAAGACCAGUGGCGAAGGCGGGUCUCUGGACAGUUCCUGACGCUGAGGCACGAAGGCCAGGGGAGCAAACGGG
Molecule: ribosomal RNA, 253 nt
Filed under: uncultured bacterium
Lineage: Bacteria
Description: partial 16S ribosomal RNA
Rfam family: Bacterial small subunit ribosomal RNA
Source: RNAcentral